AUUGAACGCUGGCGGUAUGCUUAACACAUGCAAGUCGAACGAUGAGAAAGAGCUUGCUCUUUCGAUUAGUGGCGGACGGGUGCGUAACGCGUAGGAAUCUACCUAUUGGUGGGGGACAACUUAGGGAAACUUAAGCUAAUACCGCAUACGCCCUACGGGGGAAAGAAGGGGAUCGCAAGACCUUUUGCUAAUAGAUGAGCCUGCGUAGGAUUAGCUAGUUGGUGGGGUAAAAGCUCACCAAGGCGACGAUCCUUAACUGGUUUGAGAGAAUGAUCGGUCACACUGGAACUGGGACACGGUCCAGACUCCUACGGGAGGCAGCAGUGGGGAAUAUUGGACAAUGGGCGAAAGCCUGAUCCAGCAAUACCGCGUGUGUGAAGAAGGCCUUAGGGUUGUAAAGCACUUUCAAUUGGAAGGAAAACCUCGAAGCUAAUACCUUCGAGUUUGACAUUACCUUUAGAAGAAGCACCGGCUAACUCCGUGCCAGCAGCCGCCGUAA
This 499-nucleotide ribosomal RNA is filed under the name uncultured bacterium. Its description in RNAcentral is "partial 16S ribosomal RNA". It matches the Rfam family "Bacterial small subunit ribosomal RNA", at positions 30 to 523 of the family's 1533-position model. The record is from RNAcentral.